UUGAACGCUGGCGGCAUGCUUUACACAUGCAAGUCGAACGGUAACAGGCCGCAAGGUGCUGACGAGUGGCGAACGGGUGAGUAGUGCAUCGGAACGUGCCCAGUCGUGGGGGAUAACUACUCGAAAGAGUAGCUAAUACCGCAUACGAUCUAUGGAUGAAAGCGGGGGACCGUAAGGCCUCGCGCGAUUGGAGCGGCCGAUGUCAGAUUAGGUAGUUGGUGGGGUAAAGGCUCACCAAGCCAACGAUCUGUAGCUGGUCUGAGAGGACGACCAGCCACACUGGGACUGAGACGCGGCCCAGACUCCUACGGGAGGCAGCAGUGGGGAAUUUUGGACAAUGGGCGCAAGCCUGAUCCAGCAAUGCCGCGUGCAGGAAGAAGGCCUUCGGGUUGUAAACUGCUUUUGUACGGAACGAAACGGCUCUGGUUAAUACCCGGGGCUAAUGACGGUACCGUAAGAAUAAGCACCGGCUAACUACGUG
This 481-nucleotide ribosomal RNA is filed under the name uncultured bacterium. RNAcentral describes it as "partial 16S ribosomal RNA". It matches the Rfam family "Bacterial small subunit ribosomal RNA", at positions 30 to 507 of the family's 1533-position model. The record is from RNAcentral.